Molecule: ribosomal RNA, 1363 nt
Filed under: human gut metagenome
Description: bacterial LSU rRNA
Rfam family: Bacterial large subunit ribosomal RNA
Source: RNAcentral
CUUGCGGAGGUAGAGCACUGAAUAUCCUAGGGGGCGUCAAAGCUUACCGAAGAUUAUCAAACUCCGAAUGCCGUAAAGAUGAUGUAUGGGAGUCAGACUGCACGAGAUAAGUUGGGUAGUCAAAAGGGAAAGAGCCCAGACCUACAGCUAAGGUCCCAAAGUACGUGUUAAGUGGAAAAGGAUGUGGGAUUUCGAAGACAACUAGGAUGUUGGCUCAGAAGCAGCCAUACAUUCAAAGAGUGCGUAAUAGCUCACUAGUCGAGAGGUCCUGCGCCGAAAAUGUCCGGGGCUGAAACACGACACCGAAGCUUAGGAAUCGAAAGAUUGGUAGAGGAGCAUUGAAUACGGAACGAAGCAGUACCGGAAGGAGCUGUGGACUGUAUUGAAGAGAGAAUGCCGGAAUGAGUAGCGAGAUUUAAGUGAGAAUCUUAAAGGCCGAAUAUCUAAGGUUUCCAGGGUAAAGCUGAUCUUCCCUGGGUAAGUCGGGGCCUAAGGCGAGGACGAAAGUCGUAGUCGAUGGAUAACAGGUUGAAAUUCCUGUACCGCAUAUAUUCAGAAAUGUGGGGACACAGAUGGAGAGUACAGCCCGGGAAUGGAUAGACCGGGGCAAGCGAGGUAGGAGAAUGGCAGGCAAAUCCACCAUUCAAUCUGAAGACGUGACGCGUACCGAACAAGAGUAGGGAAGUGUAUGAGCCAGCUGUCGAGAAAAGCCGCUAUUGUGAUAUAUGCGCCCGUACCGUAAACCGACACAGGUGGAUGAGGAGAGAAUCCUAAGGCCGGCGGGAGAAGUGUUGUUAAGGAACUCGGCAAAAUGACCCCGUAACUUCGGGAGAAGGGGUGCCUCGGAAGAGGCCGCAGAGAAAUGGCCCAAGCAACUGUUUAGCAAAAACAUAGGUCUAUGCAAAACCGAAAGGUGAGGUAUAUGGGCUGACGCCUGCCCGGUGCUGGAAGGUUAAGAGGAGAGCUUAGCGCAAGCGAAGGUUUGAAUUUAAGCCCCAGUAAACGGCGGCCGUAACUAUAACGGUCCUAAGGUAGCGAAAUUCCUUGUCGGGUAAGUUCCGACCCGCACGAAAGGCGUAAUGAUUUGGGCACUGUCUCAACAACACACCCGGUGAAAUUGAAAUACCAGUGAAGAUGCUGGUUACCUGCGCCAGGACGGAAAGACCCCAUGGAGCUUUACUCCAGCUUGAUACUGGGAUUCGGUACUACCUGUACAGGAUAGGUGGGAGGCUAUGAUCACGGGACGCCAGUUUCGUGUGAGCCGCUGUUGGGAUACCACCCUUGUAGUACUGGAUUCCUAACCUACAGCCGUGAACCGGCUGGGGGACAAUGUCUGGCGGGGAGUUUGACUGGGGCGGUCGCC